AUGCUAAGCAUAACACUGUGCAUAAUUGCAGAGUACGGAGAAGGCUGUGCUGUCUCAACCGCUGGUGAUAUUUGUAGUCUUGGCAUAUUGUUGCUUGAGAUGUUUACGGGAAGAAGCCCAACAGAAGGCACGUUCCGAGAUUCAUUGGGUCUGCAUAAGUUUGUCGAGGAUGCUCUUCCAGAUCGAACCUUGGAGAUAGCGGACCCGACAAUUUGGUUGCACAACGGAGAAAACAAUAACACCACAAGUAUUAGAAUUCAAGAGUUAUUUUUUUUCAGUGUUGAGCCUUGGCAUAUCCUGCUCAAAGCAACAUCCUCGUGA
Molecule: ribosomal RNA, 321 nt
Filed under: Triticum aestivum (bread wheat)
Lineage: Eukaryota; Viridiplantae; Streptophyta; Magnoliopsida; Poales; Poaceae
Description: partial small subunit ribosomal RNA
Source: RNAcentral